GGGUCCUACGGGGCGCAGCAGUGGGGAAUAUUGCACAAUGGGGGAAACCGUGAUCGAGCGACGCCGCGUGAGUGAAGAAGUAUCUCGGUACGUAAAGCUCUACCAGCAGGGAAGAAAAAAAGUCUUUGGCUUUGGACGGUACCUGACUAAGAAGCCCCGGCUAACUACGUGCCAGCAGCCGCGGUAAUACGUAGGGGGCAAGCGUUAUCCGGCUUUACUGGGUGAAAAGGGAGCGUAGACGGCAGCGCAAGUCUGGAGUGAAAUGCCGGGG
RNAcentral lists this ribosomal RNA (271 nucleotides) under uncultured bacterium. RNAcentral's name for it is "partial 16S ribosomal RNA". It matches the Rfam family "Bacterial small subunit ribosomal RNA", at positions 334 to 607 of the family's 1533-position model. The record is from RNAcentral.